Molecule: ribosomal RNA, 487 nt
Filed under: uncultured bacterium
Lineage: Bacteria
Description: bacterial SSU rRNA
Rfam family: Bacterial small subunit ribosomal RNA
Source: RNAcentral
CUACGUGCCAGCAGCCGCGGUAAUACGUAGGGUGCGAGCGUUAAUCGGAAUUACUGGGCGUAAAGCGAGCGCAGACGGUUACUUAAGCAGGAUGUGAAAUCCCCGGGCUCAACCUGGGAACUGCGUUCUGAACUGGGUGACUAGAGUGUGUCAGAGGGAGGUAGAAUUCCACGUGUAGCAGUGAAAUGCGUAGAGAUGUGGAGGAAUACCGAUGGCGAAGGCAGCCUCCUGGGAUAACACUGACGUUCAUGCUCGAAAGCGUGGGUAGCAAACAGGAUUAGAUACCCUGGUAGUCCACGCCCUAAACGAUGUCAAUUAGCUGUUGGGCAACUUGAUUGCUUAGUAGCGUAGCUAACGCGUGAAAUUGACCGCCUGGGGAGUACGGUCGCAAGAUUAAAACUCAAAGGAAUUGACGGGGACCCGCACAAGCGGUGGAUGAUGUGGAUUAAUUCGAUACAACGCGAAGAACCUUACCUGGUCUUGACAU